RNAcentral lists this ribosomal RNA (380 nucleotides) under uncultured organism. Its description in RNAcentral is "bacterial SSU rRNA". It matches the Rfam family "Bacterial small subunit ribosomal RNA", at positions 524 to 896 of the family's 1533-position model. The record is from RNAcentral.
CGGGGGGGGAGCAAGCGUUGUCGGAUUUACUGGGCGUAAAGGGCGCGUAGGCGGCGCAACAAGUCACUUGUGAAAUCUCCGGGCUUAACCCGGAGCGGCCAAGUGAUACUGUCGUGCUAGAGUGCGGAAGGGGCUACUGGAAUUCUCGGUGUAGCGGUGAAAUGCGUAGAUAUCGAGAGGAACACCUGCGGCGAAGGCGGGUAGCUGGGCCGACACUGACGCUGAUGCGCGAAAGCCGAGGGGAGCGGAACGGGAUUAGACUACCCCGGUAGUCCUGGACCUUAAACGAUGGAUACUUGGUGUCCGAGGUUACAUAGUCCGUCGGGUGCCGGCGCUAACGCAUUAAGUACUCCCGCCUGGGGAGUACGGUCGCAAGACUG